Molecule: ribosomal RNA, 1381 nt
Filed under: Klebsiella pneumoniae
Lineage: Bacteria; Pseudomonadati; Pseudomonadota; Gammaproteobacteria; Enterobacterales; Enterobacteriaceae
Description: bacterial SSU rRNA
Rfam family: Bacterial small subunit ribosomal RNA
Source: RNAcentral
UGCAAGUCGUGACAGUGAGUCACCCGUUCGCUUGCUCUCGGGUGACGAGCGGCGGACGGGUGAGUAAUGUCUGGGAAACUGCCUGAUGGAGGGGGAUAACUACUGGAAACGGUAGCUAAUACCGCAUAACGUCGCAAGACCAAAGUGGGGGACCUUCGGGCCUCAUGCCAUCAGAUGUGCCCAGAUGGGAUUAGCUAGUAGGUGGGGUAACGGCUCACCUAGGCGACGAUCCCUAGCUGGUCUGAGAGGAUGACCAGCCACACUGGAACUGAGACACGGUCCAGACUCCUACGGGAGGCAGCAGUGGGGAAUAUUGCACAAUGGGCGCAAGCCUGAUGCAGCCAUGCCGCGUGUGUGAAGAAGGCCUUCGGGUUGUAAAGCACUUUCAGCGGGGAGGAAGGCGAUAAGGUUAAUAACCUUGUCGAUUGACGUUACCCGCAGAAGAAGCACCGGCUAACUCCGUGCCAGCAGCCGCGGUAAUACGGAGGGUGCAAGCGUUAAUCGGAAUUACUGGGCGUAAAGCGCACGCAGGCGGUCUGUCAAGUCGGAUGUGAAAUCCCCGGGCUCAACCUGGGAACUGCAUUCGAAACUGGCAGGCUAGAGUCUUGUAGAGGGGGGUAGAAUUCCAGGUGUAGCGGUGAAAUGCGUAGAGAUCUGGAGGAAUACCGGUGGCGAAGGCGGCCCCCUGGACAAAGACUGACGCUCAGGUGCGAAAGCGUGGGGAGCAAACAGGAUUAGAUACCCUGGUAGUCCACGCCGUAAACGAUGUCGAUUUGGAGGUUGUGCCCUUGAGGCGUGGCUUCCGGAGCUAACGCGUUAAAUCGACCGCCUGGGGAGUACGGCCGCAAGGUUAAAACUCAAAUGAAUUGACGGGGGCCCGCACAAGCGGUGGAGCAUGUGGUUUAAUUCGAUGCAACGCGAAGAACCUUACCUGGUCUUGACAUCCACAGAACUUUCCAGAGAUGGAUUGGUGCCUUCGGGAACUGUGAGACAGGUGCUGCAUGGCAGUCGUCAGCUCGUGUUGUGAAAUGUUGGGUUAAGUCCCGCAACGAGCGCAACCCUUAUCCUUUGUUGCCAGCGGUUAGGCCGGGAACUCAAAGGAGACUGCCAGUGAUAAACUGGAGGAAGGUGGGGAUGACGUCAAGUCAUCAUGGCCCUUACGACCAGGGCUACACACGUGCUACAAUGGCAUAUACAAAGAGAAGCGACCUCGCGAGAGCAAGCGGACCUCAUAAAGUAUGUCGUAGUCCGGAUUGGAGUCUGCAACUCGACUCCAUGAAGUCGGAAUCGCUAGUAAUCGUAGAUCAGAAUGCUACGGUGAAUACGUUCCCGGGCCUUGUACACACCGCCCGUCACACCAUGGGAGUGGGUUGCAAAAGAA